This 207-nucleotide ribosomal RNA is filed under the name uncultured Verrucomicrobiota bacterium. RNAcentral describes it as "uncultured Verrucomicrobia bacterium partial 16S ribosomal RNA". It matches the Rfam family "Bacterial small subunit ribosomal RNA", at positions 568 to 774 of the family's 1533-position model. The record is from RNAcentral. Lineage: Bacteria; Pseudomonadati; Verrucomicrobiota.
UGCGUAGGUGGUGAGGUGUGUCGGAUGUGAAAUCUCGGAGCUCAACUCCGAAACUGCAUUGGAAACUACCUUGCUAGAGGGUUGGAGGGGGGACUGGAAUACUUGGUGUAGCAGUGAAAUGCGUAGAUAUCAAGUGGAACAACAGUGGCGAAGGCGAGUCCCUGGACAACUCCUGACACUGAGGCACGAAAGCUAGGGGAGCAAACA